AUGGUUAAGUUAGAAAGGGCGCACGGUGAAUGCCUUGGCACUAGGAGCCGAUGAAGGACGGGACUAACACCGAUAUGCUUCGGGGAGCUGUAAGUGAGCUUUGAUCCGGAGAUUUCCGAAUGGGGAAACCCACUGUUCGUAAUGGAACAGUAUCUUUAUCUGAAUACAUAGGAUAUUGAAGGCAGACCCGGGGAACUGAAACAUCUAAGUACCCGGAGGAAGAGAAAGCAAAUGCGAUUUCCUGAGUAGCGGCGAGCGAAACGGAAUUAGCCCAAACCAAGAGGCUUGCCUCUUGGGGUUGUAGGACACUCUAUACGGAGUUACAAAGGAACGAAGUAAAUGAAGCGACCUGGAAAGGUCCGUCGAAGAAGGUAACAACCCUGUAGUUGAAACUUCGUUCCCUCUUGAGUGGAUCCUGAGUACGGCGGAACACGUGAAAUUCCGUCGGAAGCUGGGAGGACCAUCUCCCAAGGCUAAAUACUACCUAGUGACCGAUAGUGAACCAGUACCGUGAGGGAAAGGUGAAAAGCACCCCGGAAGGGGAGUGAAAGAGAUCCUGAAACCGUGUGCCUACAAGUAGUCAGAGCCCGUUAACGGGUGAUGGCGUGCCUUUUGUAGAAUGAACCGGCGAGUUACGAUCCCAUGCAAGGUUAAGCUGAUAAGGCGGAGCCGUAGCGAAAGCGAGUCUGAAUAGGGCGUUUAGUAUGUGGUUGUAGACCCGAAACCAGGUGAUCUACCCAUGUCCAGGGUGAAGUUCAGGUAACACUGAAUGGAGGCCCGAACCCACGCACGUUGAAAAGUGCGGGGAUGAGGUGUGGGUAGCGGAGAAAUUCCAAUCGAACCUGGAGAUAGCUGGUUCUCUCCGAAAUAGCUUUAGGGCUAGCCUCAUGUUGUGAGAGUCUUGGAGGUAGAGCACUGAUUGGACUAGGGGCCCCCAACGGGUUACCGAAUUCAGUCAAACUCCGAAUGCCAAAGACUUAUCCAUGGGAGUCAGACUGCGAGUGAUAAGAUCCGUAGUCAAAAGGGAAACAGCCCAGACCACCAGCUAAGGUCCCCAAGUAUACGUUAAGUGGAAAAGGAUGUGGAGUUGCUUAGACAACCAGGAUGUUGGCUUAGAAGCAGCCACCAUUUAAAGAGUGCGUAAUAGCUCACUGGUCGAGUGACUCUGCGCCGAAAAUGUACCGGGGCUAAACGUAUCACCGAAGCUGUGGAUUGACAUCUUUGAUGUCAGUGGUAGGAGAGCGUUCUAAGUGCUGUGAAGUCAGACCGUAAGGACUGGUGGAGCGCUUAGAAGUGAGAAUGCCGGUAUGAGUAGCGAAAGACAAGUGAGAAUCUUGUCCACCGAAUGCCUAAGGUUUCCUGAGGAAGGCUCGUCCGCUCAGGGUUAGUCGGGACCUAAGCCGAGGCUGAAAAGCGUAGGCGAUGGCCAACAGGUUGAUAUUCCUGUACCACCUCCCCGCCGUUUGAGUAAUGGGGGGACGCAGUAGGAUAGGGUAAGCGCGCUGCUGGAUAUGCGCGUUCAAGCAGUUAGGCUGAUGAGUAGGCAAAUCCGCUCAUCAUGAAGGCUGAGCUGUGAUGACGAGGGAAUUAUAGUACCGAAGUUCCUGAUUCCACACUGCCAAGAAAAGCCUCUAGCGAGGCGGGAGGUGCCCGUACCGCAAACCGACACAGGUAGGCGAGGAGAGAAUCCUAAGGUGAUCGAGAGAACUCUCGUUAAGGAACUCGGCAAAAUGACCCCGUAACUUCGGGAGAAGGGGUGCUCUGGUAGGGUGUAUAGCCCGAGAGAGCCGCAGUGAAUAGGCCCAGGCGACUGUUUAGCAAAAACACAGGUCUCUGCGAAGCCGCAAGGCGAAGUAUAGGGGCUGACGCCUGCCCGGUGCUGGAAGGUUAAGAGGAGGGGUUAUCCUUUGGGAGAAGCUCUGAAUCGAAGCCCCAGUAAACGGCGGCCGUAACUAUAACGGUCCUAAGGUAGCGAAAUUCCUUGUCGGGUAAGUUCCGACCCGCACGAAAGGCGUAACGAUCUGGGCACUGUCUCAACGAGAGACUCGGUGAAAUUAUAGUACCUGUGAAGAUGCAGGUUACCCGCGACAGGACGGAAAGACCCCGUGGAGCUUUACUGUAGCCUGAUAUUGAAUUUUGGUACAGCUUGUACAGGAUAGGUAGGAGCCUGAGAAGCCGGAGCGCUAGCUUCGGUGGAGGCGUCGGUGGGAUACUACCCUGGCUGUAUUGAAAUUCUAACCCGCGGCCCUGAUCGGGCCGGGAGACAGUGUCAGGUGGGCAGUUUGACUGGGGCGGUCGCCUCCUAAAAUGUAACGGAGGCGCCCAAAGGUUCCCUCAGAAUGGUUGGAAAUCAUUCGUAGAGUGUAAAGGCACAAGGGAGCUUGACUGCGAGACCUACAAGUCGAGCAGGGACGAAAGUCGGGCUUAGUGAUCCGGUGGUUCCGCAUGGAAGGGCCAUCGCUCAACGGAUAAAAGCUACCCCGGGGAUAACAGGCUUAUCUCCCCCAAGAGUCCACAUCGACGGGGAGGUUUGGCACCUCGAUGUCGGCUCAUCGCAUCCUGGGGCUGUAGUCGGUCCCAAGGGUUGGGCUGUUCGCCCAUUAAAGCGGUACGCGAGCUGGGUUCAGAACGUCGUGAGACAGUUCGGUCCCUAUCCGUCGUGGGCGUAGGAAAUUUGAGAGGAGCUGUCCUUAGUACGAGAGGACCGGGAUGGACACACCGCUGGUGUACCAGUUGUCUUGCCAAAGGCAUCGCUGGGUAGCUAUGUGUGGACGGGAUAAGUGCUGAAAGCAUCUAAGCAUGAAGCCCCCCUCAAGAUGAGAUUUCCCAUAGCGCAAGCUAGUAAGAUCCCUGAAAGAUGAUCAGGUUGAUAGGUCAGAGGUGGAAGCGUGGCGACAUGUGUAGCUGACUGAUACUAAUCGAUCGAGGACUUAACCAAA
RNAcentral lists this ribosomal RNA (2939 nucleotides) under Priestia megaterium. RNAcentral describes it as "bacterial LSU rRNA". It matches the Rfam family "Bacterial large subunit ribosomal RNA". Lineage: Bacteria; Bacillati; Bacillota; Bacilli; Caryophanales; Bacillaceae. The record is from RNAcentral.